GCCGGGUGCGGUGGCUCACACCUGUAAUCCCAGCUCUUUGGGAGGCCGAGGUGGGGGGAUCACUUGAGGUCAGGAGUUCAAGACCAGCCUGACCAACAUGGUGAAACCCCAUCUCUA
Molecule: non-coding RNA, 117 nt
Organism: Pan troglodytes (chimpanzee)
Lineage: Eukaryota; Metazoa; Chordata; Mammalia; Primates; Hominidae
Rfam family: Metazoan signal recognition particle RNA
About the family: The signal recognition particle (SRP) is a universally conserved ribonucleoprotein. It is involved in the co-translational targeting of proteins to membranes. The eukaryotic SRP consists of a 300-nucleotide 7S RNA and six proteins: SRPs 72, 68, 54, 19, 14, and 9.
Source: Rfam